Acanthopagrus latus (yellowfin seabream) is the source of this 1556-nucleotide long non-coding RNA. RefSeq lists it as uncharacterized. NCBI's taxonomy places the organism in Eukaryota, Metazoa, Chordata, Actinopteri, Spariformes, Sparidae. The record is from RefSeq and is a predicted model, not a curated record. The transcript is spliced from 5 exons.
GCUGCCGCCGUGGUGGCGGGAUGACAGGGGAGGGAAGGUGGCGCCGUCCAUGGAGUUGGCCCGUUUGACCUUUGAGGGGUUGACACGCCAUGACUUGGACCUCGGUGGAGGAGUCUGAGCCACGAGACACUUCUGGUACUGGACCUGACGGAGAGGAAAGGACUGUCAGAGGAAGUUAAUUCAUCUGUGUGAGCUGCUCGUCAUGUUUGGACAACUAGGGGCCAGAAGGACAACAGUCCCGUCAUCAUCUACCUCAGACCACCUGUGAUUCAUAUCGACGCAAUCAAUGAUCUAGAUGGUGUUCAGGCGUUGUCACUCACCAUACAUGCAGCCUGGACGGCCUCAGACAGGUUCCCUGCGUCCGGUUCACACCAGAACACGUGACACUCGAACUGCUGUGUGCCGCCAUCCACGAUCACCGCGAAGGUGUGGCUGUCGUGUCCGACGCCCAGGAAGAGACAGGAUGUUGUCAGUGACGUGGACGACGAUCGGCUCCCACUCGUCUCUGUCUGUUGAGUUCAUGAUGCUCUCUAUCGCUCGGUUCAGCACCUCCAUACCUGCACAAACACAGUAGACUGGAAAAAUGAUUUUUUUUCUGUCUUCAUCAUUCGUAUUUAUAGAAGCAAUUUUGAUAGUUGGCGUAUUACACAACAUAAAGUGGAAUGUAAUGUUGUGUGGUUUUACUGAGAGCUGUGGAUAAGACAGACAGUCGUUGUCGAUGCUCAGACAUUAAUGGUGUAACACGUGUGACUCUGUCCUACCCAUCGCUCUGGACACCGGCAGGUUACCGAUGUACUGGACCUGGAACUUCUGGACCUGCUGCCGGACCGCCUCCAGAAACUCGACUGAAACACAACGAAAAGGAGACGGAAUCAGCGGAGAGCCAAUCAGAGAGCAGCAAGGUGAUGUCAGAGAACAGACUGAGCAGGAGACUCACUGACCUUGGAGCACAUCUCAUGCAGCGCCGUGGCGAUGGCUUUGGCCGGAGCGUUGCAGCGAAACACGUGACACUUCAGCACACAGCUGUCUUUAUCACCCGCCACGAAGGCAAAAUCCCUGAAAAGACCACACACACACACACACACAGUGGAUUGGCUGAUGGGCAAUUGAUCAUGUGUCCAGCAGGUAAAACAAAAAAUGACCCUGACAUAUAAAAGGAGGGUGUGAGGAUGAGUCUGUGUCUGUGGCUCUGCAUGUGAACACGUAAAAGGGAGAGAGUUUUACCUGUCCCUGCCCGGGUGAAGGGGUAAAAGGGGGCGUGUUAAAGAAAAAGAGAGAGACAGUGUUAGUGCAAACAGACAGAGAGAAGAAAUGAAAGGUGAGGUCGAGUUUAACAUGCUGAAAGGUCGGAGGUUAGCCUAGCUUAGCGCAAAGACUGGAAGCAUGGGGGAGUUUUAGCAUAGUCAACAAGAGAGGAAAAAGAGAACACCCAUCCUCUUUCCAACAAUUCCAUAAGCUAUCAUACUAUGAUUUUGAAAUCUAAGUUAUUCUAUGUGAUGCUGUGUCUUUUAUCUGGACGUGAGUCUGGAGAGGUUUGAAUUUCUAAAUUACAAUAU